AGGGUUAGAGCUCAGUGGUAGAGCACGUGCUUAGCAUGCAUGAGGUCCUGGGUUCAAUCCCCAGCACUUCCA
Molecule: transfer RNA, 72 nt
Filed under: Camelus bactrianus (Bactrian camel)
Lineage: Eukaryota; Metazoa; Chordata; Mammalia; Artiodactyla; Camelidae
Also listed under: 2 other names
Rfam family: tRNA
About the family: Transfer RNA (tRNA) molecules are approximately 80 nucleotides in length. Their secondary structure includes four short double-helical elements and three loops (D, anti-codon, and T loops).
Source: Rfam by way of RNAcentral